This 2287-nucleotide long non-coding RNA is filed under the name Rattus norvegicus (Norway rat). RNAcentral's name for it is "long non-coding RNA NONRATT016485". The record is from RNAcentral. Lineage: Eukaryota; Metazoa; Chordata; Mammalia; Rodentia; Muridae.
UGUAAAAGUCCAAUUGGUCAUUAAGUCUAAAGAACCUUAGUUUACUGACCAUAAAACAGUCUAUGUUAAAUACUUUAAAAACAAAAAUUCUGGUGUUUAAAAGACAGGAGCCAGUCAAGUAAAGUCAAACACUGUCAGCUCCUCAGACCUUCCCACGAGUCUCUGAUGCCUGAGAAUGUGGGAUAGCUUCUAGGAGCUCUGUAGUUUAUAUCUGAUCAAAUCCAGAUCCAUGUGACGUGCUUGUCUCUCUUCAUUACAAAUACAAGUUGAGGCCAUGUGCUCCUCAUGCUACUGGGGACAAAUGCUAACAUUAUCUCUUAGAAGUGGGCCAGAGCAUGGACUCUCACGGCCCCCUCCUUUUCCUUUUUUUCCUUCUCUCCCUCCUCUCCCUCCCCCUCCUCUUCUUCCUUUCCCUUCCCCUCUCGCCCUAAGCAUCUCUCACAUUUUGUGAUAUGUGAAAAUAGAUGGUGCUUCAAGGCACUUAAGAUCUUUAAUCUGCAUUUUUCGUAUUUCACAAAGUUGAAGCGCCCCAUUCUUUUAAAUAUCUUUCCAUUUUCUAUGACCUGUUUGCUGUUUUCAGUUUCCUGGCUCUAUGAUGUCAUCACUUGCCAGGGAACCCCACAUGUGGCUCAGCUUUCCAGGCACUUGUUUUUCCUGGGUGUGGGUGAGCUAUCAUGGCAGAUUUCAUAGCCACCCUUACCAGCUUAGAACUUCCCCCUUUCUCCUGGCUUCCCAUUUUACAUGUGGACUCUGCCUCAUUCACCAGCUUCUGAGGUUUUGGAGAAAAUAACCCAAUACAGAAUCAGUUCGUUUCUUGUAUUGACAGCCAGAGCUGGGACUUGAGCUGUCAUCAGGUUAAUUCUCAGCUUCAUGAAGAAAAACUUAGCCCAGCACUUCAAAGCCCGAAAAAAAUUAAACCUGCCUCUUAAUCUAAUGUUCCAAAUUUCAGAAGUGGGAAACCCUGGGCUCACAUAGGUUAUCUCAGCACCCCAUCAUCACUUACUAGUACAGAGAAAGAUGUGCUGCUCUUCUCCUGGCUCCCAAGGUAUGAGGCGUUCACAUUUCCUUUGUCUUAAGUUCAGCCUCUUCUCAGAGGUGAGAAAACAAUAAACAAAUCAUCUCAUGGACUCCUGUUGAGACACACCACAUCCCGUACCAUGGAUGGCGUCGUUCUGUCAUAGCCGAAGAGUCCAAAAAGGUAUCUCACCUUCUAGGCAUAACUCAAGGGAAAAAAUUUUUUUUUAAAAAAAAUGUUUAAAUAAAGAAAUCUACCUCAGUUGACAGGAUUCCACCUAUCCUUGGGGUUUCUUCGGCUCUCAGUCUUACCUGUUAGGUGUCACGGGGCAGCACUGCUUGUGUGACUAAGCAGGCACAGCAGAGCAGAAGUGUGUCAGUGUCCCGUGACGACCUCUUUCUAGCAUGCUGCAGUUUUAUAUUAAGUUGAUAAGUGAUAUGAAUGUAUAGGCAAUUGUGUAUGUUCUCAAAAAGGACAAUGGGAAUUUAAAAUGUAGCGUCCACACUUGUGCAUAAUCCCAAAGUAUCUUAUUUUAUCAGUGUUAAAUAGCUUUUGUACAGCUUCAGCCCAUUUUCCAGACGUGUGCUGUUUUAUACAGAAAGUAACUCAUGUUCUCACACCUCAUGGAGCUGCGUUUACACAUCGCAACUUUUUAACUUAACCAUGAUUUUUCAGAAUUAACUUUUUUGGAGGGAGGAAAUUCCCCACUUGCUAAAUAAUACUAAACAGUGUCUGGGCUCUUAAAAAUCAGGUCUUUGGAUUUUAUAAACCAGGCUGUAGCUUUUCAGGUUCCUCAUUAGUAGGAUGUAAAUACAGAAUAUAAAACAGCUCUCGUUCUUUCAGUCCGGAGUUUCCCACUGAUGCACUCUUAGGUGUUAUGUUCACACAGACUUGCGUCAUUAAACUGAAAAGGUCCGUAGCUUCUUUUAGUUAAUGUGAACCCUUUGUUUUUAUUGUGCUUGGCGGAGAAGAAUACAAUUCUUGUCUAAAUCAAGCAGCCCCCUUUGAAUGUUAAUUUUUUAAAUGUUAAAAUUUGGUGGACAUCUGGAACUUCUAUUUCCAUUAUGUUUAAAUUUCAGUGUUUUAAAAAGGAGACAACUCUGAGCUGUGUUACUAUUGAUCUUUCAUUAAGAGAAAUUGAUAGGACUGGUUUCUAAGUCAGCAGAGUGGAUAUGACUGUCAGUGUGCAGAGACUUUUUCCUAAAACAACAUUCAUGUAUUGUUUUGAUCCAUCUUUCUGUGACAUUUGGUGCAAUAAACUUUUUGAAUUUA